Molecule: ribosomal RNA, 460 nt
Filed under: uncultured bacterium
Lineage: Bacteria
Description: partial 16S ribosomal RNA
Rfam family: Bacterial small subunit ribosomal RNA
Source: RNAcentral
CCUACGGGUGGCAGCAGUGAGGAAUAUUGGUCAAUGGGCGCGAGCCUGAACCAGCCAAGUAGCGUGAAGGACGACUGCCCUACGGGAUGUAAACUUCUUUUAUAAAGGAAUAAAGUGAGGCAAGUGUGCCUUUAUGUAUGUACUUUAUGAAUAAGGACCGGCUAACUCCGCGCCAGCAGCCGCGGUAAGACGGAGGAGCCGAGCGUUAUCUGGUUUUAUUGGGUUUAAAGGGAGCGUAGAUGGGUUGUUAAGUCAGUUGUGAAAGUUUGCGGCUCAACCGUAAUAUUGCAAUUGAUACUGGCAGCCUUGAGUACAGUUGAGGUAGGCGGAAUUCGUGGUGUAGCGGUGAAAUGCUUAGAUAUCACGAAGAACUCCGAUUGCGAAGGCAGCCUUCUAACCUGCCACUGACAUUGAGGCUCGAAAGUGUGGGUAUCAAACAGGAUUAGAUACCCUAGUAGUC